UACGAAGGGGGCUAGCGUUGCUCGGAAUCACUGGGCGUAAAGGGUGCGUAGGUGGGCAAGUAAGUCAGUGGUGAAAUCUCCGGGCUUAACCCGGAAACUGCCAUUGAUACUAUUUGUCUUGAAUACUGUGGAGGUCAGCGGAAUAUGUCAUGUAGCGGUGAAAUGCUUAGAUAUGACAUAGAACACCAAUUGCGAAGGCAGCUGGCUACACAAAUAUUGACACUGAGGCACGAAAGCGUGGGGAUCAAACAGA
RNAcentral lists this ribosomal RNA (253 nucleotides) under uncultured bacterium. RNAcentral describes it as "partial 16S ribosomal RNA". It matches the Rfam family "Bacterial small subunit ribosomal RNA", at positions 524 to 776 of the family's 1533-position model. The record is from RNAcentral.